Molecule: transfer RNA, 76 nt
Filed under: Acidobacteriaceae bacterium
Lineage: Bacteria; Pseudomonadati; Acidobacteriota; Terriglobia; Terriglobales; Acidobacteriaceae
Also listed under: 2 other names
Description: tRNA-Thr
Rfam family: tRNA
About the family: Transfer RNA (tRNA) molecules are approximately 80 nucleotides in length.
Source: RNAcentral
GCCGGCAUAGCUCAGCUGGUAGAGCAUCUGAUUUGUAAUCAGAGGGUCGGGGGUUCAAGUCCCUCUGCCGGCUCCA